UGCUCUGCUUGUCACGUAUAGAAAAGCCAUUAGUUGUUUUAGAGACUGAAAAGAUACAAGGUUGGUUUUUCUUGUUUGUAUUUUUUUCAUGUAGCCUGAAAAGGAUAAGAAUAACAAUGGAGAAAAAGAAAGAGAAAGAGCACGAGAAGGAAAAGAGGAGGAAGAGGAAGAAGAGGAGGGGGAGGAAGAAGAGCAAAUCAAGCAAAAAAGGGAGAAAAACGGCGUUUUUAAAAAAAUGUUUGGAUUCCUUUUCAAUAAAUCAAAGAAGAAAGAUGGAACGAAAGAAAAUACGAAACACCAAGCUGCAAAUGAACAGAGGAAGAGUUAUUAUGCUGCAAAUGAUGAAUUUUUUGAUGCAUACGAUUAUGACUGAAGGGAUUAUUUUGAACCUCUCACCAUCUGUUGUUAUAAAGGAUUUUAAUGUUCCAGCUCGUGAAGCAUCAUAUUUGGUGGUAUCUUCAACAACAUCAUUUUAAAAUAUUUAAGUAACUGCAUCUUCUCAGCACAAUUAGAAAUGUAAACUUUAAUUAUGACUUACGUUCUCUUUAUUUGUAGGAUAUAUGAAUACUCACCAUUAGGAUUUUGUGAAAAUGAAGAUGUUAAAUUAUUUAGCAAAACUGGCACAUGUAGUGAUUUUUGCUAUACAAGUUGUUGAUGAUUAAUUCUUUUUGUAAUUUCCUGAUGAAUUAUUUCUCUAUGUCUGCCUAAUCAGCAGGCCUGCUGUGAAAUAUAAUUGCACUUGCAAGAAAAUUACAGUCUCAUGAGAUGAAUAGGUUUGAUGAUUAAAUUUAGUAGAAUGAAGUAAUAAGAUUCAAACACCCAAGCAAAAUGGCAUGCUGCUCCUUUAACAUUAUUUGAUGACCUCCCUAAAAAAACACAGAACAAUGUUUGGGAAACAAUCCAGCUUGACACAACUCACAACAGAGAAGAGAAAAUUUUGAAGAACACAAUAUUCUCUUGGUAAAUGAAGGAAUUUCACCUCAGUUAAAUUAAAAAUACCAGUCUUGAUCUGGGGUCAGCAAAUCAUAAUUCACCGAGCUAAAACAGACAUACACACAUACAUUCCCUUUCUCAAGCCUGAUAAGAAAACAUACUGGCUGCUAAAUGUAAUUACUAAACUGGAUCUAAGUAUGGUAGUAGAUUGGCAUUCAUAUCAGCAGGAGACAGAGUUCUGUGCAAGGAACAUGAAUUAGCUGUUGUUUUCUGCAUGGCAAAAAAAUACCUCUUCCUACCCAUAUUUUCCCCCAGCGAUAAGUAUGGGUGUUUUUCCUCUUGCCACGUUUAAUGGCAGUGCAUUAUAUCUGAACGUCUAGCUGUUCUUUCGUGAAAUACAAAUAUUUCCAGCCAAAUCCUAGGUGAGAGCUUAGCUGUUCUUUCGUGAAAUACAAAUAUUUGAUGGAAAGCCAGCCAAAUCCUAGGUGAGAACGGACAGGCUCAAACUUCAGACGUGGAAGAGCUUUCGAAGUUAUUUCUUUCUCAAGUGCUGUGUGAAAAUGUCUUUGGUAUCUUGAGAAUGAAGAGAGUCCCUGGUGUUCUGUUUACCCAGUACUCUCAAUAGGCCUGGGAAGAAGCUCCAGGCCUAAAGCUUCAGAGGGUUCAUUUCUUUACGGUUGAUGUUAUUAGGGACAGGGAAGAGCCCCAGCCAGCACUAAAAGUACCCCAAGACAAGUUUCCUCCCAACUAACUGAGACUCCACGGGCAAGGCCCCCUUUCACAUGUAACUUACAAUAACCAUCACAGUCAUGGGGCUUAACCUCAGAGGAAUGAUGUGUGGGAUGGGAAGCUUAAUGGGAAAUACACAGCUCCCCGCCCCCCAGAAAUGUACUGUCUGCCUAGGGGACUACGACUUUGUGACGUACAUUUGGAACCAGAGAUUUUCUUACUGAUCCUAUUAGAUCUUUUUGUUUGUCCAGCUCAUCAAAUGAUGGUAGUUAAUUUACUUCUCACUGCAAGAAUCCUGACAGCUAAAAUGUUGAAAAAUAGAUCAAGUUCCCAUUAUGGUAUUAUGGUUAUAAACUGUAGCUGUUGGUAUGCAGUUCUGAUGUAUAAAUUAAUAGGGCUGAAAAAUGGACUCCUUUUCAGAUGCACUGGAAUCAGCAGCUGCCAAAUAAUGUUAUCAACUUAUAUAUAUUUACUAUAAACCAGGAUAUGAAUUUGAUCUCUUUCUGCUGGCAAAGGUUGCCUUAAUAACUGCCUAGUUUAUAGAAGACUAGAUGAGCAUAUUGUUGUUGUUUAGUUGUUAAGUUGUGUCCGACUCUUUGUGACCCCAUGGACCAGAGCAUGCCAGGCCCUCGUGUCUUCCACUGCCUCCCGGAGUUGGGUCAAAUUCAUGUUGGUCGCUUCGAUGACACUGUCCAACCAUCUCGUCCUCUGUUGUCCCCUUCUCCUCUUGCCUUCACACUUUCCCAACAUCAGGGUCUUUUCCAGGGAGUCUUCUCUUCUCAUGAGAUGGCCAAAAUAUUGGAGCCUCGGCUUUCCUACUUUCUUCAGUUUAAGCUUGAGUUUUGCUAUAAGAAGCUGAUGAUCAGAGCCACAGUCAGCUCCAGGUCUUUUUUUUUUUUUUUUGCUGACUGUAUAGAGCUUCUCCAUCUUGUUGUAAGCCACCCAGAGAGCUUUGGGUAGAGUGGGCUGCAUGUAAGUGAAAUAAAAUAAAUAAAUACAUAAUCUGAUUUCGGUAU
Pogona vitticeps (central bearded dragon) is the source of this 2678-nucleotide long non-coding RNA. The record is from Ensembl. Lineage: Eukaryota; Metazoa; Chordata; Lepidosauria; Squamata; Agamidae.